Molecule: ribosomal RNA, 363 nt
Filed under: Algyroides moreoticus
Lineage: Eukaryota; Metazoa; Chordata; Lepidosauria; Squamata; Lacertidae
Description: partial 12S ribosomal RNA
Rfam family: Bacterial small subunit ribosomal RNA
Source: RNAcentral
CAUCCGCCAGAGAACUACAAGUGAAAAACUUAAAACUCAAAGGACUUGACGGUGUCCCAUACCGACCUAGAGGAGCCUGUCCUAUAAUCGAUACCCCCCGUUCCACCCAACCUCAACUAGCAAAAACAGCCUAUAUACCGCCGUCGACCAGCCUACCCCAUGAGGGUUUAACAGUAGACACAAUAGCCCCCCCCGCUAAUACGUCAGGUCAAGGUGUAGCAAAUGUUGAGGAAGAGAUUGGCUACAUUUUUUAUGAUAAAAAACACGAAAAGCACUAUGAAAUCGUGCAUGAAGGUGAAUUUAGUAGUAAAAUAAACAAGAGAGUUUAUUUUAACAACGCUCUGGGACGCGUACACACCGCCC